CGUCAAUCAUAUUUGCUGUAUAAAUGAGUUAUGCGGCUUGAUACAAUAUGGUUACGAAAAAAUAUUAUGAAUUUUUUAUCACAUAUGCUGUUUUAAUUAUAAAGUUAAUACAAAAGACAGCUGAUUAUCAGUUAUCUUGUUAAAAGUUCAUCAAAUAAAUAGAUUUAUUUGUUGAAUGCUUACUAACGAUCAGCCGCAACCACCAAUUAAACUAAACACCUCCUACAGAUAAUAGCAGCCGGUCACAUAACACUCGGCACUAGUAGUAGCUGCAGAAGGUGGCAUCAUAAGGCAGUCACAAAAAAUAUGCUGACACCAUUCUCUUCCCCGGUUUUCACUCGAAUACCACCAGCUUUAAUUCCGUCUCAAAACUGCAACCAACAAAAAAUGCCUGAAUAAAGCACCUUCAUUAUAAUACAAAUUACGUUCAUUCCACAUGCAGACUAUUAAUCCUACGGCAAGUUGCUUCUAGAGCCCAGGCCCAAAUCAAUGAGAAUUGUGAAGUUCACUGCCUUUAUGAUCACAACAACCGCUACCUACAAGGCAUAACUGAUCGAAUUAUUUCAACUGCCUCAACAACACAGCAGGUACAACAGAAUCCAGCACCAGUUCUAUGGCGAACAACUUCUCAUUUAAGCAGCCAAUUCUUGCAGUUCACUUCGAGAACAAGAACCAGCUGAGAAUACCGCUAACUGUCGUUCCUUAAAGAAAACAAUCCAAUUCUUUCCUGUCAAAUUAAAGAAACUUUGAAACCCUCAACCAAGUAGGUGUUAGUAAGAACUCCUUUCACAGAUCAUAGAACAUCAAUGCGAAGUUAAAAUCCAUAUAGUUUGACUAAAAACUAAAGCCAGUUCCUACUUGAAAACAUGUUCCAGAUUUCCUCCAGUUGUGUUCUCAACAUUUUCAGGCUCACUGAAGCAGAGAUUCCAACACUACAAUGUGCUACAUCAGGAGCCAUAUGGAAUACUCAGGGGAACUAAAAUUUCCCUGGACAGAAUACAAAAAGAGAUGUAACUUACAAAGCUAAGAACUCAACCAUCAAAAUCAACUGCACCAUGAACAAGGUACAAGUUCUAACAGGGGAAAAAAUGUUGCUAGUUAUAGUUAAAAUAUAAAGAAAUCUACCUCAGAGGAA
Molecule: unclassified non-coding RNA, 1135 nt
Filed under: Hevea brasiliensis (rubber tree)
Lineage: Eukaryota; Viridiplantae; Streptophyta; Magnoliopsida; Malpighiales; Euphorbiaceae
Source: RNAcentral